Molecule: ribosomal RNA, 608 nt
Filed under: uncultured bacterium
Lineage: Bacteria
Description: bacterial SSU rRNA
Rfam family: Bacterial small subunit ribosomal RNA (bases 1-516)
Source: RNAcentral
CCUACGGGAGGCAGCAGUGGGGGAAUCUUGCGCAAUGGGCGAAAGCCUGACGCAGCCAUGCCGCGUGAAUGAUGAAGGUCUUAGGAUUGUUAAAAUUCUUUCACCGGGGACGAUAAUGACGGUACCCGGAGAAGAAGCCCCGGCUAACUUCGUGCCAGCAGCCGCGGUAAUACGAAGGGGGGCUAGCGUUGCUCGGAAUUACUGGGCGUAAAGGGAGCGUAGGCGGAUAGUUUAGUCAGAGGUGAAAGCCCAGGGCUCAACCUUGGAAUUGCCUUUGAUACUGGCUAUCUUGAGUAUGGGAGAGGUUAGCGGAACUCCGAGUGUAGAGGUGAAAUUCGUAGAUAUUCGGAAGAACACCAGUGGCGAAGGCGGCUAACUGGCCCAUUACUGACGCUGAGGCUCGAAAGCGUGGGGAGCAAACAGGAUUAGAUACCCUGGUAGUCCACGCCGUAAACGGAUGAGUGCUAGUGUCGGCAUNCAUNNAUGUCGUGCGCAGCUACGACAUAGCACUCCGCCGUGGAGGUACGGUCGCGAGAGUAAACGUAACUAAGUAGUUAAGUUAGUAGUUACGUUGUAGACGNGCCGACGGACGACGACGAGGGAGGAGG